GGUCUCUGUGUUGGGCAUCUGUCUGCCCGCAUGCCUGCCUCUUUGUUGCUCUGAAGGAGGCAGGGGCUGGGCCUGCAGCUGCCUGCGCAGAGCUG
Molecule: microRNA precursor, 95 nt
Organism: Pteropus vampyrus (large flying fox)
Lineage: Eukaryota; Metazoa; Chordata; Mammalia; Chiroptera; Pteropodidae
Gene: MIR346
Product: microRNA 346
Source: Ensembl